Molecule: long non-coding RNA, 1909 nt
Filed under: Homo sapiens (human)
Lineage: Eukaryota; Metazoa; Chordata; Mammalia; Primates; Hominidae
Description: non-protein coding lnc-CFL1-1:7
Source: RNAcentral
ACUCGUGACCUCGCCAGCUCUCAGCUCCCUCGGGCGAUUUCGUGCACGCUAAUGUGCGCCUCUGUGUUUUCCUAAAUGCUGGUUUCUUCAUCAAGCGGCGGAAUAACGCAUCAGGGCAGGUGACCCACGUCACCGGGGUGAUGCACUGGUGCUCGCCGGGGCGGGCGCUGUGCCUGCGGGAGCCGCGCGGCCGGCGCGGUGUCGGGGCGCCUCGUGGGGGCCGAGCCGCGCCCGCACGUCCCUCAGGUAGGCGCGACCAGAGUUUCUUUAGACAGGAUGACCUGGCAGCGUUUCCACCCCACCCACGGCGAGUUUCGCUUUCCUAAUGUGGUUAAAAAGUGCGUUCUAUCUGAAAUAGGGUGGUUGAACAGGUUUCAACAUUUUACUUAAUUUUUUGUUUGUUUUAGAUUUCUUCCUUCUGGUGGGUCUCUUUCUUUUUCUGUCAAGAAGAUGUUCAUAACUGUCCUCUUUGGCAUUUGUUCAAAGUCCAGUUCUAAUAGCUUUUGGACUGUGGUUUAAUUUUAACCAUAAAGCAUUCUUUUGGAAUAAUUGCUUUUGAAUCUGGGAAGAGCCAGCUGGAUACAAGGCCAUAAACACCCCCCUGCGGGGAAUGUACAGGCUUUAAGUUACGUUUUUUUACCACUAGCAUUUCUCUUUAUCUUUUUUCUUUUUUUGGAGACAGGGUCUGGCUCUGUUGCCCAGGCUGGAGUUCAGUGGUACAAUCAGAGCUCACUGCAGCCUCAUCCUCCUGGGCUCCAGCGAUCCUCCCAUCUCAGCCUCCCGAGUAGCUAGCUGGGACCACAGGCACGCAUCACUGGCUAAUUUUUUUUUUUUUUUUUAGAGACAGGGUGUUGCUAUGUUGCCCAGGCUGAUCUCAAACUCCUGGUCUCAAGUGAUCCUCCUGCCUCAGCCUCCCAAAGUGCUGGAAUUACAGGCCUGAGCCACCAUGCCUGGCCUAGCAUAUCUCUUUUUUUAAAAAAAGGAGACUGAUGGGGGUUGGGGGGAUGCAAAUUGUGAGUAGAUAGGUGGGAUUGGAGGAGAGUUUGAACAUCUGCUUUAAUCAACUAAAUGGUGUCUUAGAGCUGUCCUGCGGGCAACCAUGUGGCCUCAGAUUUCUGGGACAAUCUCAAUUUCUGGGACAGAGGACUGGCCCACUGGCCCUUUGUUAGGCUACGCAUCAGACCACCACCAAUUUCCAGUUCUGAAAUUGUGGUCACCAGAGAGACCUAUCAGCAGCCAUAGACAUUAUCUCCUUCGGAAUGACUGGACCCAGGCAGCCAGGCAGAGCUGGGGUCCCCAGAGCUCCUGGCACUAGCCGGAAUAUUUCCAGUUCCUCUUCUUCCCUUACAGCACAAGUCCUUUGGUAAUCAUUGCUCAUAUUUGUAGAACCUUAGAGAAUUUUGGAUGUAGCAGGACAGAAAUUGGUUGCCUGCCAUUUUGUGGCUUGGGUGGCAUACAUCUUGUUUGGCAAUUAAAAAAAAAAGAUGAGAAGAAAAUGGGAUAUGCAAUGGAGACCAAUUCAAGAAAAAGUGAUUUAUGCCAGUCCUAGCUGAGGCAGAUGAAUUUGGGAAGACUUACUUGUUUUCUAGAAAUAGUCUUCACUUGACCAGAGAUUCAUACUUGGGCGUAUUUAAAUACAGAGCUCUUCUGGAGCAUUUGACUAGAAGGACAGAAAACCAGAGACUAAUUAACCAGUUGUUACCAGCGGGAAAUCCGUUUUUGUUUGUUUGUUUGUUUGUUUGUUUUCUUUUUGAGGCGGAGUCUCGCUCUGUCGCCAGGCUGCAGUGGAGUGGCGUGAUUUUGGCUCACUGUGCAAUCUCUGCCUCCUGGGUUCAAACCAUUCUCCUGCCUCAGCCUUCCAAGUAGCUGGGAUUACAGGUGCACUCCACCACACCCAGCUAAUUUUUGU